RNAcentral lists this ribosomal RNA (484 nucleotides) under uncultured bacterium. RNAcentral's name for it is "partial 16S ribosomal RNA". It matches the Rfam family "Bacterial small subunit ribosomal RNA", at positions 30 to 507 of the family's 1533-position model. The record is from RNAcentral.
AUUGAACGCUGGCGGCAGGCCUAACACAUGCAAGUCGAGCGGAUGAAGGGAGCUUGCUCCUGGAUUCAGCGGCGGACGGGUGAGUAAUGCCUAGGAAUCUGCCUGGUAGUGGGGGAUAACGUCCGGAAACGGGCGCUAAUACCGCAUACGCCCUGAGGGAGAAAGCGGGGGAUCUUCGGACCUCACGCUAUCAGAUGAGCCUAGGUCGGAUUAGCUAGUUGGUGGGGUAAAGGCCUACCAAGGCGACGAUCCGUAACUGGUCUGAGAGGAUGAUCAGUCACACUGGAACUGAGACACGGUCCAGACUCCUACGGGAGGCAGCAGUGGGGAAUAUUGGACAAUGGGCGAAAGCCUGAUCCAGCCAUGCCGCGUGUAUGAAGAAGGUCUUCGGAUUGUAAAGCACUUUAAGUUGGGAGGAAGGGCAGUAAGUUAAUACCUUGCUGUUUUGACGUUACCAACAGAAUAAGCACCGGCUAACUUCGUG